AUUGAACGCUGGCGGCAGGCCUAACACAUGCAAGUCGAACGGUAACAGGAAGAAGCUUGCUUCUUUGCUGACGAGUGGCGGACGGGUGAGUAAUGUCUGGGAAACUGCCUGAUGGAGGGGGAUAACUACUGGAAACGGUAGCUAAUACCGCAUAACGUCGCAAGACGAAAGAGGGGGACCUUCGGGCCUCUUGCCUUAGGCUGUGCCCAGAUGGGAUUAGCGAGUGGGUGGGGUAACGGCACACCUAGGCGACGAUCCCUAGCUGGUCUGAGAGGAUGACCAGCCACACUGGAACUGAGACACGGUCCAGACUCCUACGGGAGGCAGCAGUGGGGAAUAUUGGACAAUGGGCGCAAGCCUGAUGCAGCCAUGCCGCGUGUAUGAAGAAGGCCUUCGGAUUGUAAAGUACUUUCAGCGGGGAGGAAGGGAAUAAAGUUAAUACCUUUGCUCAUUGACGUUACCCGCAGAAGAAGCACCGGCUAACUCCGUG
This 490-nucleotide ribosomal RNA is filed under the name uncultured bacterium. Its description in RNAcentral is "partial 16S ribosomal RNA". It matches the Rfam family "Bacterial small subunit ribosomal RNA", at positions 30 to 507 of the family's 1533-position model. The record is from RNAcentral.